This 446-nucleotide long non-coding RNA is filed under the name Androctonus crassicauda. The record is from RNAcentral. Lineage: Eukaryota; Metazoa; Arthropoda; Arachnida; Scorpiones; Buthidae.
AUAUAUAUAUAUUUUUUAUUUUUUAAAUUUCGGAUUAAUUAAAACACAAAAAUUUAAAAAGCUAUUUACCAAAUCGACCCGAUGACAAAAAAAUUUUUUUCCCUAUCCACCUCUUAGAUAAUGAGUUUGUUGCUAUUUCUGUUGAACCACACCCAAGUUUCAGUCAUGUUCAUUAAUGUUCAAGUCAGAAAUUGUAAUGGAGAUCGUUCGUUCUUCAGUCACCUUCGUGCAACCUCUACGUCAAACGGGAACUUCGAAAGCUUUAUAUAUUUUUUAUCGUUUUCGAACUGGUUUUCUAAUUGUUGGAAAUGUUUUCUUUCCAUUUUCUUUUGAUUCCCAGUUUCUUGAUUAAGUUUCUUCACAGCGUGAAUGAGACGUAUAAAGGCGACAAAACACAGCGAAGUCCGAAGACGAUAUAUAUAUAUAUAUAUAUAUAUAUAUAUAUA